Molecule: ribosomal RNA, 452 nt
Filed under: uncultured bacterium
Lineage: Bacteria
Description: bacterial SSU rRNA
Rfam family: Bacterial small subunit ribosomal RNA
Source: RNAcentral
UUCGCAAUGCCCGAAAGGGUGACGAGGCGACGCCGCGUGCGGGAAGAAGGCCUUCGGGUUGUAAACCGCUGUCGGGAGUUAAGAAAUGCAAGGAUAUUAAUAGUGUCUUUGCUUGACUAAGGCUCCGGAGGAAGCCACGGCUAACUCUGUGCCAGCAGCCGCGGUAAUACAGAGGCGGCAAGCGUUGUUCGGAAUUAUUGGGCGUAAAGAGCACGUAGGCGGCUAUGUAAGUCGGUUGUGAAAGCCUUCCGCUCAACGGGAGAACAGCAUCCGAUACUGCAUGGCUUGAGUGCGGGAGGGGAGAGUGGAACUUCUGGUGGAGCGGUGAAAUGCGUAGAUAUCAGAAGGAACGCCGGCGGCGAAAGCGGCUCUCUGGCCCGUAACUGACGCUGAGUGUGCGAAAGCUAGGGGAGCAAACGGGAUUAGGUACCCCGGUAGUCCUAGCCGUAAAC